This is a small nuclear RNA of Nomascus leucogenys (northern white-cheeked gibbon), 107 nucleotides long. NCBI's taxonomy places the organism in Eukaryota, Metazoa, Chordata, Mammalia, Primates, Hylobatidae. The record is from Ensembl.
GUGCUUGCUUCAGCAACACAUACACUAAAAUUGGAACGAUAAAGAGAAGAUAAGCAUGGCUCUUUCACAAGGAUGACACACAAAUUCAUGAAGUGUUCCAUAUUUUU